AACUGUUUUGGGACUACAACUCCCAUCAUCCCUAGCUAACAGGACCAGUGGUCAGGGAUGAUGGGAAUUGUAGUCCCAAAACAGCU
This is a non-coding RNA of Podarcis lilfordi (Lilford's wall lizard), 86 nucleotides long. NCBI's taxonomy places the organism in Eukaryota, Metazoa, Chordata, Lepidosauria, Squamata, Lacertidae. The record is from the annotation of a GenBank genome assembly.